CCUACGGGUGGCAGCAGUGGGGGAUAUUGCACAAUGGGGGGAACCCUGAUGCAGCGAAGCCGCGUGAGUGAAGAAGGGCCUCGGCGCGUAAAGCCCUGUCUGCAGGGAAGAAAAUGACGGUAUCUGAAGAAGAAGCCACGGAUAACUCCGUGCCAGCAGCCGCGGUAAUCCGUAGGGGGCAAGCGUUAUCCGGAUUUACUGGGUGUAAAGGGGGCGCAGACGGGGGUGCAAGCCAGGAGUGAAAGCCCGGGGCCCAACCCCGGGACUGCUCUGGGAACUGCGUGGCUGGAGUGCAGGAGGGGCAGGCGGAAUUCCGGGUGUAGCGGUGAAAUGCGUAGAUAGCAGGAGGAACACCAGUGGCGAAGGCGGCCUGCUGGACUGCAACUGACGUUGAGGCCCGAAAGCGUGGGGAGCAAACAGGAUUAGAUACCCUUGUAGUC
RNAcentral lists this ribosomal RNA (440 nucleotides) under uncultured bacterium. RNAcentral's name for it is "partial 16S ribosomal RNA". It matches the Rfam family "Bacterial small subunit ribosomal RNA", at positions 338 to 795 of the family's 1533-position model. The record is from RNAcentral.